RNAcentral lists this ribosomal RNA (468 nucleotides) under uncultured bacterium. RNAcentral's name for it is "partial 16S ribosomal RNA". It matches the Rfam family "Bacterial small subunit ribosomal RNA", at positions 28 to 507 of the family's 1533-position model. The record is from RNAcentral.
GACGAACGCUGGCGGCGUGCUUAACACAUGCAAGUCGAACGGAAAGGCCCUGCUUUUGUGGGGUGCUCGAGUGGCGAACGGGUGAGUAACACGUGAGUAACCUGCCCUUGACUUUGGGAUAACUUCAGGAAACUGGGGCUAAUACCGGAUAGGAGCUCCUGCUGCAUGGUGGGGGUUGGAAAGUUUCGGCGGUUGGGGAUGGACUCGCGGCUUAUCAGCUUGUUGGUGGGGUAGUGGCUUACCAAGGCGUUGACGGGUAGCCGGCCUGAGAGGGUGACCGGCCACAUUGGGACUGAGAUACGGCCCAGACUCCUACGGGAGGCAGCAGUGGGGAAUAUUGCACAAUGGGCGGAAGCCUGAUGCAGCAACGCCGCGUGCGGGAUGACGGCCUUCGGGUUGUAAACCGCUUACGCCUGUGACGAAGCGUGAGUGACGGUAAUGGGUAAAGAAGCACCGGCUAACUACGUG